Molecule: unclassified non-coding RNA, 167 nt
Organism: Chelonoidis abingdonii (Abingdon island giant tortoise)
Lineage: Eukaryota; Metazoa; Chordata; Testudines; Testudinidae
Source: Ensembl
AUGAAAACCUGCUAGACUGAAGUCUAAUUUAUCUACAGAACAACCAAAGCACAGCAGUGUGUGUAUGAGCUUCACUUCACUGCCCUGCCAAUGGGCCUCAACCUUUCCCUGGAGAGACCACCUGUAGGGGUAACUCAGUUUCCAUGGCCAUUUGCUCCUGGGCCUCU